AUCGCUUCUCGGCUCAUUGAGCUAAGAUCAAAUGUGUAGUAUCUGUUCUUAUCAGCUUAAUUUCUGAUACACCCCUCAUGUAGGGGUCGGAAAAUUGAACUGAUUUUUGAACCAUGGCUGGAGGUUAGGGGCUUGCCCCGCUUCGGCCGCGGUCGACCUGGCAUUGCACUAUCGCCAGGUUCGGCUUUUUAUU
This 193-nucleotide small nuclear RNA is filed under the name Orussus abietinus. RNAcentral describes it as "U2 spliceosomal RNA". It matches the Rfam family "U2 spliceosomal RNA". From Rfam's summary of the family: U2 is a small nuclear RNA (snRNA) component of the spliceosome (involved in pre-mRNA splicing). Complementary binding between U2 snRNA (in an area lying towards the 5' end but 3' to hairpin I) and the branchpoint sequence (BPS) of the intron results the bulging out of an unpaired adenosine, on the BPS, which initiates a nucleophilic attack at the intronic 5' splice site, thus starting the first of two transesterification reactions that mediate splicing. Lineage: Eukaryota; Metazoa; Arthropoda; Insecta; Hymenoptera; Orussidae. The record is from RNAcentral.